RNAcentral lists this RNase P RNA (267 nucleotides) under Hydrogenophaga sp. Its description in RNAcentral is "partial RNase P RNA component class A". It matches the Rfam family "Bacterial RNase P class A", at positions 1 to 291 of the family's 367-position model. From Rfam's summary of the family: Ribonuclease P (RNase P) is a ubiquitous endoribonuclease, found in archaea, bacteria and eukarya as well as chloroplasts and mitochondria. Its best characterised activity is the generation of mature 5'-ends of tRNAs by cleaving the 5'-leader elements of precursor-tRNAs. The record is from RNAcentral. Lineage: Bacteria; Pseudomonadati; Pseudomonadota; Betaproteobacteria; Burkholderiales; Comamonadaceae.
GAAGCGCGCCAGACCGUCGCUGGCACAGGGCCCGAAAGGGCGUGCUGGAGGAACGUCCGGACUGCACAGGACAGCGUAGGAGGUAACACCUCUCCACCGACAAGCCAGUCAGGGCAACCUGGGUGGCCCUAAGGUGAGGAUCAGAGCAACAGAGACGAGCCGAUUCAGUUCGGGUGAAACGGGCAAUCUCUACGCGCAGCAAUACCAAAUAGGCCAACGUUGACGUGGUUCCGCGGAGUUGGCGGGUAGGUAGCACCGAGCCGCUUG